RNAcentral lists this transfer RNA (88 nucleotides) under Araneus ventricosus. It matches the Rfam family "tRNA". From Rfam's summary of the family: Transfer RNA (tRNA) molecules are approximately 80 nucleotides in length. Their secondary structure includes four short double-helical elements and three loops (D, anti-codon, and T loops). Lineage: Eukaryota; Metazoa; Arthropoda; Arachnida; Araneae; Araneidae. The record is from Rfam by way of RNAcentral.
GCCUCGGUAGCGCAGUGAGCAGCGCGUCAGUCUCAUAAUCACUCCAGCGAGUAAUCUGAAGGUCGUGAGUUCGAUCCUCACCCGGGCA